AGUCCGGUGCUGGGAAAGGCGAUUCAUGGAGGUCUUGGACUCUUGGGAUAUUCUUCUCGCAUCACUCCCUUUCUCUCUUCUCUUCCUCCUUCGCUCUAUUUCACAUUAUCUUAUCCUCGAUUCAAGAAGUCUCCCAGCUCCGACUCUCCGGAUCUUCGUCACGGCUACAUCGGGGGGAAUCGGUCGGUAAAGAAGGGUCUUGGGAUAAUUCUCUCUUAUCCUCCUCCUUCGUUCCUAUUCCAGAUUAUCGUAUCCUGGAUACAAGAAGUCUCCCAACCCUCAGUCUGCGGGUUUUUCUUGCUUCUUUUCUUCAUUUUUUUUGCUGUUAGUUUUACAAGAAGAGGCUGUGAUGAUUCCUGAACGAGGGUUUGCUGCAUUGGGAAGCGGAAAACGGCUAUGUCUAACGGCAAAGCGGAAUCUUGGAUGCUCUGCUGUUCGGUUUGCUGCCUUCUUGCUUUAUCUGGGGGACGUCUUGAGGCUAAGAACGCGAAUAAAUGGUGAAUUCGAGCCAAUUUUUCCUCUUCCUUUUCUUCUCUUUUCUAAGUCGGCGUUUUUUUUCAAGAUUUUGUUUUUAAGGUUUCGUGAAUUUCUUUUGCUGCUGUUUAUCUCAUCUGAUGAGUUGUUCUUGUGGUUCCUCAAGAAUUCAUAGGAUAUGGAGGUCAAUGGAGGAUAUAAGGAGUUGAAGGAGUCCUUAGAAAUUUUUCUGAAGCUGGUAUUGAAGAAGCCCAUCCGCUUCAACUUCCCCUUGAUGAUGCAAUAGAAUCCCUCAAAUGAUUUAUGCUGCUGCUUUAUGUGCUUUUAUUUUUCUCAAUCUUCCUACUCAUCUCUGCAAACUUAAUGGUAGUUUGCUCUGCUUAUGUGCUUUUAUGCUUCAGACACCAGGAUCACACUCCCUGCUGCUCUCAAGUGGUGUUUCAAGUGCUACUGCAUUAAUUUCUGUGCUGCCUGUUCAGAUUUGAGGGUAAUGUUGGUGCUACUUUAACGGGCAUAGCAGGGCUUAGGGUAGUUGCUAUGGUUCUUGCUGUCUUUUCAGUCAGGUAAGUAAGAACUUGCUCAUGUACAUCAUUACAUCAUUCUAUAUUGUUAGCAACAAAAGAUUUUUUAUUAUUAAAGCUUGCAGAUACUUUACUGAUAUAGCAAGCCCUGAUGCUGCAAGUUAUAAAGGGAUAGAGAAGUGUAGAGUGUGCAGUGAAUGGAGCCAUUAAGAUCUUGACAGUUGCAGUAUUAUUCAUACUUCAGAUAUUGGCAUAUUUUCUUUUCUUAAAUAAAAUAAGGUCUUUCAACGCCCCAAAAAAACAUAACUUUGUGACUGUUGUGGUUAUUGUGGUACCAAAACUGCUUACGUUGGCUGUCACCUUCACCUUGAUAUAAGUACACAUGAUUUCUCUGGUACAUAUCUUUCUUGAACUUAAAUACAGAUGUUUCCUGGCAUAUAUGCUUGGAUGGUGUUCAAAUGAUUGCAUUACAGGUGCUUAGGCUUUCAGCAUGUGAAACUAUGGGGUCAGCUGCAACUAUUUGCAGUUAUAAAAGGAGCUUUGACCCUUAAUUAGGCAUACAUUGGUGGGAGGAAGAUAGAUCCUCUAGAAGAUGUGGAAUUGAGAUCUUCAACUGCAUUCUAUUUUUCAGUCGAAGGAAUUGCUCAGAAUACAACUGUCGGUAUAUUUGAGCCAGAGAGUGGCUGAACUAUUGAGGAUACUAGUUCACCUACUGAAAAGGCUAUCCUUUAUUGGGCAGUUCAGGUUGAUAUCUUCAAUUCUUCAAGUCUUCCCCCUUUAAUUCUGAGAAAAAGCAUGGUGGUGCUGCAGUACACGUGGGAGAUUCUGAAGUUCACUUGCAUUGGAGAGGUGCUGCUGAAAUUGUUCCUGCUGCAUGCAGAGCUGGCCUGAACCAGAUGGUUUGGCUCAGCCAAUGACUUCAGACAAGGUAUUCUUGGUCAGUCGAAAUAAUCUUCAGAAAGCGAAGCUAUAGCUUUGGUGUUCUGGAUACUUACAGAUGCCGAUGCCUCAGAGCCAACUGUUAUAUAGGGAAAAGUAUUUCGAGCCAUGACUGAUUCAGGAAGAGGGAGAAUUGCUGAGAAAAUAUUUGAUUGCUGGUGCACCCCAUUCACUGCACUCUCAAAACUCAAAAGCAAAAUGAGCGGAAAAAGUUAUAGGAAGAAGAGUGGAUUACAAGCUUGAAGUUGUCCAACAAUUGCAAGGGGAUCUCCCAGUGGGACGCCUGAACCAUAUCCAUGUCUACCAAGAUGAGGUGCAUCAUGGCUGCUGCACAAAUUUCUAUACUUGUUUGGAGUUGAUAAGAAAGUUUUCCACUUCGGCCAUCCCUGAAAUAUUCCUUUUCUUCUUGAACAUAUUAGCUUUCUCGUCUCAGUUUUUUCAGUUGCAGAGAGUUAAAAACAUGCAAUGCUGGAUGAAAUGGUGAAUAUGAGCCUCCUCUUCCUUCCCGUCCCAUUUUAACUUCUCUAAUUAUGAAGACAACUUGAAAGAUCUCCAUGCUAUUUGCAAACACCAGCUGUAUCCAGAGGGCCCAUGCAGACCAACUGCUGUAUAAACUGGUUUCCCAUGCAUCUCUUGCCUCAUGUGCAUUAGGAAUUUUGCGAUCCUGCAUAGAAAACUUCGUGGGCUGCAUGCUAAAAGAGGCCAUGAUUGAUUUGCUGGCUCAUGUUUUUAUGCUUUGACACCCCAAUGGCAAACUGUAUCCCCUGCUUCUACAAAGUGGAGGUGUAUUAAGGGCUACAAUAUAAAUGACCUGCUUCAAUUUGAUAAGUUACUCUUUCCCUUCCGCUGUUGGUGAAGUAUUCCUUCUUGAACAUAUUAGUAUUUGUUUUCAGCAGGAAGUUAUCCAUGACAGUAAAUUAUUUGCCACGUAUUCUUCAUGGCUAUUUUGAACAACCAGCAGCCAGUCCGAUUCUUUUAAAAUUUAAAUUUUAUGCUUAUGUAAUAUUAUUUGCUACUUGAAUGGAAAGGGAAGUAGGAAAUAAAAUAGAAAAUCAUCAGUCAUACUUUGGAUGGUCUAUUCUUCUGCAAGCAAUCAUUGCAGCCUGCUAAAAAACUGCAAAAAUCUGGAUGACUCCUCCUCCCAGACAGUACAACUUUUCUUUUUCAGCCUUGAUAUUCUUUUCCUUAUUUUCUGAUAUAAUUAUACAUUAUUUCGAUGGCUUUGGCUUAUGAGGUUAUUUCUGAUAUCAGCAGUAGUUUUUUCUUUUCUUUUGACCUAUUUCAGUCAGUGAGAGUGCCACCAACUCCAGCACUCAGCAAUACAGUAGUAUCACCCUACAGAUGUGCCCAGGUAUGUCAUCUCAGAACCAAGUUUGCCUGCUCUUAGGAUUUAUUUUCUUCCUGACAAUCAUGUUAAUUAUAUGUUUUAAGUAACUUUACAUUGGUGAUUGACUAUUCUAAGGAUCGACCAGUCAUCAUUUCACCAAACAAAAGAUGAUGUAGUGCUUUUUUUGUUUGGUUAAAUUUGACAAAGUCGUUGUAUUAUAGUUGGAUGUGGUCCAGCUCCAUUAAUCAUGCUCUCAGUAUCUAGUCUCCAAAAGGCAGGGGAGGCCUGGUCAUGGUGAGGCAUCUAUAGGCAGUCCACGGGUGGAGCUACCCGCCUGCUUCAGCUUGAAUCUUACUCAGAUAUCCAAGUACUUUCAAAACCACUAGAAGGCUGAUAAUGAUGCUUCGAGCUAGUUAGUUUAUCUGGGAACAUGGCCGCCUAGUAGCUUGGUGCAGGGUGAAGUUUUUAUCUUGUGGCAUUACUAACAUGUUGCAGAGUUGUGGACAACAGGAACAACGGUGAAAUGAUCUUUAUUGCCUACAGCAUGAAGGACUAUAUUGGUGCCAAUCCAGACACAACUAGAUUGGUGUCAACCAAAGCAUGAGCCUCUUAAGAGUCCUCAAAAAGAGUCAGGGUUAUAUGAGAUCACUGCGAUGCUCUUGCAGAGAACAGUAGAGACAUCUGACGCAGAACGGAAGGUUUCACGGAUGCUCUUCCUGUGUAAGGGAUAUUUUAUAUAAUAUUUUAUAAGAACAUCAAAGAAAAGGGGGAAAGUUCUCAAAACUCAGUCAAUCCUUAUGAAACUGUUUAGUGCAUAAUAAUUGCUUGGAGUGAAGACCAUCUGCCUUGGGUGCAA
Phoenix dactylifera (date palm) is the source of this 4117-nucleotide non-coding RNA. The record is from RefSeq and is a predicted model, not a curated record. NCBI's taxonomy places the organism in Eukaryota, Viridiplantae, Streptophyta, Magnoliopsida, Arecales, Arecaceae.